Molecule: long non-coding RNA, 1650 nt
Organism: Panicum hallii
Lineage: Eukaryota; Viridiplantae; Streptophyta; Magnoliopsida; Poales; Poaceae
Exons: 5
Source: RefSeq, a predicted model, not a curated record
ACCCCACACCGACAGCGGCGGGCGAGGCGCGGGGGUGAGGUGGUUGCCGGCGCGGUUGUGCCGCAGCACUGGGCCGCGUGGCUCGCCGGCGCGCGCGCCCGCCGUCCCGCUCGUUGCUGGCCGCGAGCCCGCCCUCAUGCCAGCGGGCGAGCCGGACACCGUCGACCUGCCGGACCUGAGGACCAGCCGCGUCUGGCGCCGUCGUCCGCGUGUCGGGCGACGCGCGGGGUGAGGCCGCGGCCGGUGCGGGCGGCUCCCACGCGUUGUGGGUGCUGCUUCGAGGUGCCCGGCCCCGCGGCGGCUGGCCAGGCGCAGGCGGCCUCCGCUCCUGGUAGCGCGGCGCAGCGGGCCAGGGCAGCAGACCGUCGCGGGCGGCCUCCACGCACCCGCCGGGGUGAGCGGCGAACAGGGCAACCAGUGGCCGGACGCGGUGGCUAGGGCGAGUGGCGCCUAUCUGGAGCCCGGGCCGCCUCAACCCCGCCGCUGAUCCCUGUCCUCCACCCUCUGCUAUUGGCCGUUACGGUAAUUUAACUGGUGCUGACCGUCGUCUCGAUGGCUCCGGCCAUUACUUGGGCCUGCUCGCGGGAAAAGCCACAGGCCCACAGCGGCUUUGGCUUCUUUGGCUUUGGCACAAGGAGAAGCUGCAGGCAGACGGCUGUGGACAUGGCUAAGCCUCGGCCGGCCGCCCCUCUACGCCCUCCUCUCCCUGCAUCACAAUCGCUGCCUUCUCCUCAUGCUUUACUUCCAGAGUUCCAGUCCUCAUGAUGAGUGCUAGGUGUUGCUUGAAGUGAGUGGUGCAUCGCAGGAGCUCAUUGGUGAGAUCUAGAUUGCAGCUGAUGGAUUAUAAGCGCGCCACUUUGCCAAGGUCAUCAUGCCUCCAAGAUGUUCGAUGAAAUACUAGUAAGGUGGGUUUUGUGACUUCUUUCUUGGUCUGAACAAGAGGACCUACAAGAUGGCUGGGGAGGAUAUGGAAGGCAACGUGCUGGGGGAACUACAAGGAGCCCUUCAUUGGCUGGAUGACCGCUGCCGUCAGCUUCGUCAUGAUUGUUGCACUGAUCCCUCUCAGGAAGUCAUCAUCUGACACCAAGAAAGCUUCCUCAGAAAAAUCUGGAACCUCCAAAACCCCUCAUUCCCAAAAAAACAAAUGAAUUUGGUUGCCAAUCAGAUACUACUGCUUCUAAAUGCAAGGCUUUUAUUUUGUGGCCAUGUUGAACUGCCAUCCUACUUAUGAACAGCAACUAUAUUUUGUGGUGAUUAUCAAACUUCGUCCAAUCACCAAUCAUCACCAGAUUUUAUGAUGAUUACUACUACUUCCAAGUGCAAGUAUUUUGUUUUGUGGUCAGCUUGAACUACCAUAUUACUUUUGAACAGCGACUAUAUUUUGUGCUGACCAUUCAUGUUUGUCGAAGCACUAAUCAUGAUCAGACCUUGUGGUACUUUUUCAUUGUACUACUUGCAAGUGCAAGUUUUUUGUUUUGUGGUCACCUUGAACUGCCAUAUUGCUUUUCAACGGCGACUACAUUUUCUGGUGACCAUCCAUAUUUGUCAAACAACUAAUGAUGGUCAGACCUUGUGGUACUUCUCAUUGUAUAUAUAAUCAUCUGUUAUGCAUAAGACUCUAGCUAUGGCAGCAGAAUUAUAGUAAAUCCA